RNAcentral lists this unclassified non-coding RNA (400 nucleotides) under Eucalyptus gregoriensis. Its description in RNAcentral is "partial external transcribed spacer". The record is from RNAcentral. Lineage: Eukaryota; Viridiplantae; Streptophyta; Magnoliopsida; Myrtales; Myrtaceae.
UGCAUCGAACUGCUUCCCUCACUUUCGAUCAGUUGUUGCUCCGCGAGCUAAACGUCGGAUGCGAGAUGUGGGUUCCUGUGUUGCAUACCUAUUGCGACGGAAAUGUGUGCCUUCGGUAGUCCCUUCCAUCACGGCGUCCUCUUGGAUGCUCGGUUGGACCGGAUAGUGGGGCUCGUGUUCCACGAACGUCGUCUCAUUCGAUCGUUCGGRCGGACCACGAGUGCCUACUCGUUCUCUCGGAUGCGGAACUCUCGUAAUGGGAGUGGGGUCAUUGGCCCUUGUUCCCUAAUCGUUAAGCGUUUAUCGCUUCACCUGAAUGACGAUCCUGCCUUGUCCUUGAUCGCGCGAAGCCCUCGGGCAUCGCGGCGGAUCAUGCUCGGCGGACGUCGUGAAGGAAUGC